RNAcentral lists this ribosomal RNA (115 nucleotides) under Aeromonas veronii. Lineage: Bacteria; Pseudomonadati; Pseudomonadota; Gammaproteobacteria; Aeromonadales; Aeromonadaceae. The record is from RNAcentral.
CCUGGCGGCCAUAGCGCCGUGGAACCACCUGAUCCCAUGCCGAACUCAGAAGUGAAACGCGGUAGCGCCGAUGGUAGUGUGGCAUUCGCCAUGCGAGAGUAGGACUCUGCCAGGC